GAUCAGCAUCUGUCGGGGCAUGGAAACAUGCAUCGGAACUCCCGGCAAAAGGACUUGCAAAGGUGAUUUCCCUUUC
This 76-nucleotide non-coding RNA is filed under the name pig gut metagenome. Its description in RNAcentral is "HTH-XRE RNA". It matches the Rfam family "HTH-XRE RNA". The record is from RNAcentral.